Molecule: ribosomal RNA, 253 nt
Filed under: uncultured bacterium
Lineage: Bacteria
Description: partial 16S ribosomal RNA
Rfam family: Archaeal small subunit ribosomal RNA
Source: RNAcentral
UACCAGCACCCCGAGUGGUCGGGACGAUUAUUGGGCCUAAAGCAUCCGUAGCCGGUCCUACAAGUCUUCCGUUAAAUCCACCUGCUUAACAGAUGGGCUGCGGAAGAUACUAUAGGGCUAGGAGGCGGGAGAGGCAAGCGGUACUCAGUGGGUAGGGGUAAAAUCCUCUGAUCCAUUGAAGACCACCAGUGGCGAAGGCGGCUUGCCAGAACGCGCGCGACGGUGAGGGAUGAAAGCUGGGGGAGCAAACCGG